RNAcentral lists this ribosomal RNA (253 nucleotides) under uncultured bacterium. RNAcentral describes it as "partial 16S ribosomal RNA". It matches the Rfam family "Bacterial small subunit ribosomal RNA", at positions 524 to 776 of the family's 1533-position model. The record is from RNAcentral.
GACGAACUGUCCUAACGUUGUUCGGAAUCACUGGGCUUAAAGGGCGCGUAGGCGGUCGACCAAGUCAGGGGUGAAAUCCUGCAGCUUAACUGUAGAAGUGCCUUUGAUACUGACAGUCUCGAGGGAGGUAGGGGCGUGCGGAACUUCCGGUGGAGCGGUGAAAUGCGUAGAUAUCGGAAGGAACGCCGGUGGCGAAAGCGGCGCGCUGGACCUCUUCUGACGCUGAGGCGCGAAAGCUAGGGGAGCAAACGGG